AAAUUGCUCUUCCUUUCACAAAAACCUUUGGUUGCUGCAAUCGAAACCAAAGCUUCCUCUCUAAAACUCUCAGAUCCGAGCCACAACCCCCUAACUUAAACUCGACUCCUCCCCAGCCCCUGUUCUCUCAUCUUCGUUCAUCUCCUCAGCAGAUUUCCUGUACCAUUCCGACGCCACGGAGGAACCUCGUUUGGUAAAUAAAGAGAACGUGAAAAAUGAAGGAAUGACGGAAAAUCAUAGAUCCAACGGUCAAAAUUGAGAGCGGAGAUAUCAAAGACCUGCGGAUCCGAGAUUAUAAGGACUUCACUUCCAACUUCUUGAGUUGCAGCAAAUUCUUAGCCACGGGAUAAGGUAUUAAGUAUUGCAGUUCGUGACAACCCCAUAUCUCCAAAGUGGUUAGAUUCCUGAAGGAUAUUAAAGCUGAAGUUAGAUUCUCUAAUCUAUCACAAAGGUUCAGGGAUAGAGCUCCCAAGUCUGGAAAAACAGUGACCCCUGGUUGGGAGUUUUCCAUUCCUAGAUGUAUCAGCUCCGGCAUAUCGAUGAGCCCCAGAACCCUUACAUGUGGGAGAGCCUCAACUUCAUGUAUUUGCCCGCUACUACCUUGGUGGUCGUGGACAAAUAAGUCUUUCCAAACAGCAGAGAGUACACGGAGAAUUUCAAGAUUCCGUAAAUUCUCAAGGAUUACAUAUAUUUUUUGCGUAUCUUAUAUGGUGGUUGAUUAUUGGGAAUGAUGAUUAAACUGUGACAUAGGCUUCUGCUUCUGAAUUAUGUUUGCACGUUCCGAAAUCCCACUUUAAUAGAAAAACGAUUAUUUGUAUUUUUAUGUAAUUUGUUAAUUAUCUAAAUUCGAGUCUCGUCCCUUGGAUGUCUCAAUGUCACUCACAUCAAAUUUGAUAUCAAGGGUUGGAGAAUGAAUUCUUCGUCCUUAUAUCAAAUUUAAUGGUGAGUGAGCAUCCGUAUCUUUGAUGAAUUGGUUGGCGGGAAAAUUUAUUGAAUUUGCAUAGGUUGUAUAAAUAUGUUUGCAAAUUCUUUCAUUUGAAAGGAAAUUGAUAAUAAGAUAUUCAAUUCGGGUAAUUUGUUCUUUA
Pyrus x bretschneideri (Chinese white pear) is the source of this 1085-nucleotide long non-coding RNA. RefSeq lists it as uncharacterized. The record is from RefSeq and is a predicted model, not a curated record. Lineage: Eukaryota; Viridiplantae; Streptophyta; Magnoliopsida; Rosales; Rosaceae. The transcript has 3 exons.